AGUAACACAUCGGAACGUGCCCAGUCGUGGGGGAUAACGUAGCGAAAGCUACGCUAAUACCGCAUACGAACUCUGGUUGAAAGCGGGGGAUCGCAAGACCUCGCGCGAUUGGAGCGGCCGAUGGCAGAUUAGGUAGUUGGUGGGGUAAAGGCUCACCAAGCCGACGAUCUGUAGCUGGUCUGAGAGGACGACCAGCCACACUGGGACUGAGACACGGCCCAG
This 222-nucleotide ribosomal RNA is filed under the name uncultured bacterium. RNAcentral's name for it is "partial 16S ribosomal RNA". It matches the Rfam family "Bacterial small subunit ribosomal RNA", at positions 109 to 334 of the family's 1533-position model. The record is from RNAcentral.